UUGGAAGCAUGGCCUCUUAACCACUGGACCGCCGGGGAAGUCCUGGCGAUCACAAAGCACCGCUGAUAUCCCUGUGCUAUGCGGCUACUUCCCACUAGCUCUCUACCUUACGGGAAACAAUGUAUUUAAUCCACCUGAUGACCCUAUGGAGAAACAGAGGUCUGGAGAGGUGGUCUCUAGCCCAGCGUUUCAGAACGAGGAAGUGGCUGAGCCAGGAUUUGAACCAGCAGGAAUCUGAACUGCUAAGAGUAACUAACUGGGAGCCACUGUGGGAGUUUUAAGCCAAGAAGUCAGAGAACUUCUAUUUGGCUAAUGUGUGGACAACAUUCAACUAAAUCCUGCACCGGAGACCCAGACAAAUGGACUCUGCCUGGGUUCCAGGAUGUCUUCUUGGAGGAGGUGACGUUGGAGCAGGUGACAAGUAGCAAAGGCCUGAGAGAAUCCGCCUUGUUCUGGGAAGAGGGUGCAGCAUUGUGUCCGGGAAAGCCCAGCGAUGAGGCUGGGGAAAUAGGUCAGGACUCAUUUGGGAAAGUACCUUGGCUUUGGGACUUUGUCCUAUAACUCACUUUGGAGCUUGCGAACCAGCAAAUUUCAAAGACAAAAUUAGAGGUCAGACAUAGGGUGGUCAACUUUUUAUUCUGCCAGUUUGGACUUAAAGAAAAAAGAGAGGGAGAGAGAGAGAGAGACCAUUUUGUUAAUUCUAAAAGCAUUUAUUGAGUACCUACUGUGUAUUAAGGAAUGUUCUGGGGCAGGGUCUGAGUUUGUUUUUCCCACUCUUGUACCCUCAGAGUCGAGAGUCACGGAAAGCCCCUAAUAGAAGGAAUGAGUAAAGUUAAAGGCAUUUGCUAGGGUAAGGUCAGUGUGGGAAUAAGCUGCUGGGAAUGAGGUCAAGGCGUGCGAGGCUGUAGAUGAGCUUGGAGAUAGAAGGGAAUAAAUUUGGAGGUCUUCGGUCUUUAGGUUAUUAUCAGUUUUAAAACUAAUUCAUUUUAUUUUUAUGGUUAUUUCCUGUAUUCUGGGGAUUUCAUAAAUAAAGAUGAAAAAGAUUUCCCUGGUGAGUCUCUUUCUGCUUAGUUGCAGCAGGGGCAACCAUGCCAUGGGGAUUUUCCUCUUAGGGACUCCGGAACCGGGAGACACUGCAUUUUGUGGGUGAAAACGCCAGCGGUAGAGUGAAAGCUGUCACUUGCUGAACACUCAUCAUGACCCAGGCGCUGUCCAGAGCUCUGUCCACAUAUUAACUCAUUUAAUUGUCAUGACAGUAAAAUGCAAAGUCCUUACUCUCAUGAUCCCGUCCCUGCCCCGCUCUCACACAUUACCUCCUGCCACUCAUAUAACCUCCUGCCUCCUGCCUCCUGCUUCCUGCCUUUUUCACUCCAGCCUGCUUCCCAUUCUUCCUACACACCAAGCUCAUGUCCACCCCCAGCCCUUUGCACCGGCCAUCCCCUCUGCUGGGAAAGCUCUCUCUCCAUCUUUGGACGGCUUCCUCUCCUUCAUUCUCAUGUCGGCUGGAGCGUGACCACCUUAUGAGAAACAGCAUCUCUUCUUCCACACCCCCAGCCCUCCAGCCCUCUACUCUGCUUUACCCCUCUUCGUAGCAGUUCUCUCUUCUGACAUCCUAUUGUACAUGUAUCUGUUUUUUAUGCAACUGUCCCACAUGAAUGUCAGCUCCAUGAGGGCGGGAACUUUGUCUCACCGUCCUUUCCUCCUCACCCAGAGCAGUAGGAGCUCAAUAAACAUCAGGACCCUGAGUGAUGGAAACAAUCUGUCGAGGUAAAACUGCUAUCAUCCCAUUUUACAGACGAGGAAUCUAAGGCACAGGGAGGUUAAGUCACUCAGUUGACAAACGGCAGAGAUGGGAUUCAGAUCCAAGCAGCCCAGCUUAAAGAUUGGACCAGGGGCCUGCAGGUUUCCCAUAUCAUUUAGCUUUUGCUAUAAUAAUGCUGUGUAACAAACCACCCCGACUCUCAGUAGCAUUUAUUUAGCUCACGAAGUUUGUGGUGGGCAGUUUUAGGCUGGGCUUGGCUGGAUGGUUUUCCUGGGCUCAGCUGUGCUUACCCACAUGUCCGGGGAUCUGGUGUUGGCUGAUCUAGCCUGGUCUUGGCUGGGGUGGCUGGGAGACUUGGUUUUGCUCCACAUGUCUGUCCUUUCCAAGAGGCUAGCCCAGGCUUGUUCUCAUGGAAGCAAAAGUACAGGUAAAAACGUACCAGGCCCCUCCAUUAAGACGUAGGCUGGAGAUUGGCACUCUGUCAUUUCCAACUCAUUCUGCUGGUGAAAGCAAGUCACACAGCCAACCCAGAGUCAUAUAAUUACAAAGUUACAUGGUCAAGAGCAUGGACACAGGAAGGGGUGAGGAACUGGGGCCAAAAGUACAAUCUGCCAUAGUUCCCAUCAGCUGAAAGAUCUUGGGCUCUGCUCCCCAGCAGGAGAGGUCAGAGGCCAUUUGACAGAGGGUCCAAGGGAGCUCCCGUUUCAUGCUUCUUUGAAGGAAACACUCAGGAUCAGGGUGGACAGGGUUUGUGUGGGGGGAAGGGAACAACGUAGUAGAGAGUGGAUGGGGGAAGAAGCUGUUGUGUCUGCAUUUCUCGUUUGGGUGUGGCCAUCUAGAGGAAGCUGGCUGGAAGCUUGGAAGCCGUCCACGUUAUCUGGUUGAGGAGUGAGUGCUUUAGUUGAUCAUAGUCAUGGCAUUAUCUGAUUUGAGGUUUUUCACCUAAAUGGAUUAAUUUAGAUCUAUCUAUCAAUCAAUUAUACAUUGGCUAUGUUUUUCUGAAUUUUUGUCUUUGGCUCAGUGAAGCCUUGGUUUGUAAAUAAUGGUGCAGAUGGGGGUUUCAUGCAUCCUAAGAUCUUUUGAGUCAUUUCAAAACCUUUCCUCCUAGUUCUUGUGUAAGCUUUGGGCUUUGCAAACCCGCCUUCCAUGCUGCAUGCCCUGCAGAAGCCACUUAAUCAUCACAACAGCUCUAUAUAGCCAGACUACGAUUAUUUCCAUUUGACAAGCCAGGAAGACUUAGUGGUUUCCACAAGCCAGUUUCCCAGAACUUUUGCUGCUUGUAAAAAUGAUUGGACCCAGAUGAUUCUAGAACUUCCCUGGAUACAAAAAGCGAGGCUGGCUACGCUGUCACCAGCAGAAUAGAGACAGCUGUCCUGGCACAGGGGCAUGAGGCAGGGAUUCAGACACACUCUUCUUGCAGGAGGGGGGACCCCUUCCAGGGCUCUUGUCUAACACUCGGAAAUGAACUGUCCAAGGAGACACAUGUGUUGACAGAGCAAGAGACUUUACUGGGAAGGGGCGCCCGGGUGGAGAGCAGCAGGGGAAGGGAACCCAGGAGGACUGCUCUGCCACGUGGCUUGCAGUCCCAUGUUUUAUGGUGAUGGGAUUAGUUUCCGGGUUCUCUCUGGCCAAUCACUCUGACUAUAAGUCCUUCCUGGUGGAGCUCGCAUCGCUCAACCAAGACGGAUUCAAGUGAGGACUCUGGGAGGCUGGUAGGACAUAUGGACUGGAGUCUCCUCUCUCCUUUUGACCUUUCCUGAAUUCUUCCGGUUGGUGGUAGCGAGUAAUGUUCUAAGAGCUUCAUGAAGACUAACCCAUUUCACACGAACAAAAACAACCACACCACAAGGAAUACUUAUUGAAUGCCUCCUAUGUGCCAGGUGCUGUUCUGAGCACGGGGGCACAGGAGUAAUCAAAGCAGCCUAACUGGUAGAGGUACUUUUAGCAGAAGAAUUCAAGGGGGAAAAAAAAAGACCACACCUGCAGAGAAAGUGGUUUAUCGAUUGGAUCCCCACACAGCGGGAACAUGGUGGAGAUGCAGGGAAAGGAUUUCACCUGUCACUCAGAGCAUCACCUUCACGCUUGAGAUUUCUUGAUUUUCUUCACUGAGGUUUCAGAGGCUUGACUGCACCCAUGGCCACGGGCGGAUGCACUGGACAGUAAUUGAACACAGUCCUGGGAUCUUCAGGAAUUUCAUCACCUAUAUGGGAUUCCUAGGCUGCUUUAGAUUCCUGAAGGACCUCGGUGGGAUUUGAGAGCAGUUGGAAGAGGCCCCGAAGUCGCUAAGAGGGAUAGCAGAGCUUACAGGGCCUGCAUGGAGCCCAUGAAUCCCCAGACAGGGUUGAAGAUUUCCCAGUGGAAGCCAGCAGGAAUGGAAGCUGAGAACCCAGGCAUCAGUGAGAACCUGGACAUGAGCAUCAUGACAGGUGAAAACUAGACAGUCACCUUCUGCCCACCAGCACUAUAGCAAAGCCCUGGGUGAGGAGAGUGGAAAGGAAAACAAGCCCUGAAUUGACUGAACUUAGAUCUGAAAUGACUGCGAAAACCCUGACAUGACCGAGUUUACUCAGACUGGUUACUCCACUAGGUAGAAUGGGGGAUUGUUAUAAACAAAAUUAUCAUAAAAAAUAAUAUAUUUAAAAACAAAAUUAUCAUAAAAAGAAAUAAUAUAUUUAAAUAGUUUAUAUUAUAUAUUUAAAAAUUAAGGAAGUCGGCACACUUGAGUUUGUGGACUGAGAAAUUUGUACAUGCUGCAUAAAGCUCUUUGGCAGAUGACAGAUAUAAUUUUAAAAAUACCAAAACAAUUCACAGGCCAAAUUUUUAAAAAUUAUGGCUCUCCUCCAUUUACUCAGGAGUGUCUUCUGCGACUGUCUUCGGUGCCAUUAAGAAGCCAGUGUCCUAUGGGAAACAGCUACUUGGCUUUUUCGGUUCGUUUUUUGUUUUUGAUUUUGUGUUUUACCCCAAAUAGUAUUUACCAGUCAAGGCUCUGAAUGCUUGUAAUUUCCCAAAUUUAUAUGUCCCCUCAUUAAGUUAAAGUUUUAUUUGUUGGUGUUUCCGCUCCUUCUUUAGAGAGAUUCACCAAACUGACACAAUGGAGAACUGGAUGCCUGGGAAUAAAGAUAACGUAGUAGCUGGAGUGGGCCUUUAACUCAAAGAGUUAGUAAGAACUAGAGAACUUUCUAGAAAGAACUUGGCUGGACUAUACUAUGAUCAGACUCCCCUGUCCUUUGUGGGAGGGGUCAACAGUUUGUAUUAAAACUCUCCUCCCACUCCCAGUGCAGUUUAUUGUAUGUCAAUUAAGCCUCAAUAAGGCUGUUUUUUAAAAAAAUGAAAAAAAGUCUGUUCCCCUUUACUCUAUCUUUGCUCUAUACAGCUCCUAUAUCACUGGAGUAUUUUACAAUAACAUAGACUUUACGUAUUCUUGAGUAAUAAGUUAAAUAAAUAAGCCUAAGAAUGUGAAAAAAGAAUCUCCCCACCCAAUAGUUUUUCACCAACAUUCAUCAGACCCUACUGAACCCCAGGUCCCUCCUAAGUUCCUUCUGUCCACUGAGGAGGCAUUAAGUAGUCAGCAGAGAUGGGAAGGAAUGAUGUAAAGUGGGCAAGGGACAAACAGGAUAGAGGGAGAUGGGGCCACUAUAAUUGAAGAAUUUAGAGUCUGAUUUUUCUCAUUCUGCCACACCUCCCAGGGAAAUAUUAGAACCCCAAGGCAGGUGACGUUGGCCUUACAAUUGGGUUGGGAGCGUUCUGGAGGAGGACAACAUUAGCCUCUUGUCCAGCUAGCAAGACAAGGAAACCUAUUAGAGUGAAAGGAAAACCAGACUUUAGGUCAAAACAUCAGAGUUCUGGUUCUGGCUCUGCCCAUAGCUAUGUAAGUGUGAGAAAUUCAUUAAAGUUUUCGAGAUCUUUGAUUCCCUUUCUGCAAAAUGUGUAGGUUGGAGGAGAUGAAUUUUAAGGGCCCUUUUAGCUCAAUAAUGCCACUUCUAGUUUUGAGGCAUACACACAUCACGGCAGAAACUUUAUUAGAAAUGUCAGAUGCAUCCACUGGGACUGUUCUUCAGGCUUCCACCUGCCCCUCAGCUUGCUGAUGACCACUCAGAAGAGAUGUCCCGUGACCCGGGACCCGAAGCACCUACUCAAUGGACAAGCGCUUGCAGCGACAGUGGCAGCAGUAGCUCUAACCUCCAGACUGAAGUGUGAAGCCAUGUGGCCCCACUUUCAACCUUUCGGGGAGAGACAGACCUGAGUGGACACGUUUCCUUCACCCACAGGGGCCCUAUUGUAAAGAUCCCAGACAUCAGCCUGCAGCCAUCUGUGGAUGUACAGCCUUUGAUCUCCAAAGGUGCGCUGAGGUCUCCUGUGGAACAAGGAGGGAUGGGGAGACACAUAGAUGUUUUAGGAAAUCAGAGAGGAGUCCACGCCUCCCUCAUUCCUGGAACCCUGAGUGUCAGAACCUCUUGGGCUACACUCAGAUGACUGGUUUUCCAGCCUCUGAAACCAUCAGAUGUUCAGUUUACCUCCAGUGACCUGAAGUUUUCCUUGAUAGCAUUGAUUUGUAUCGUUGGGGCAGGAAAGAGAAGGAGCAUUCAAACAGGACCCCAAAGCCAGACAGGUUGGGCAGUGGAGGUCUGUUGACCUUCUGGGAGCUGAAGGGGGAGAGAGAGGGACAAUUAAGGGCGAGUCCCGCCUCUGAGUUGCCUCCCCUUGCUGCCUUCUCUUCCUCCAGUCUUUCCUGCUGAUGCCUCUCUACUCAAGGACUGUUACUACCACCUCCCCACCCCUCUCCAACUGAUUUCUGUGCUGUCAGAACCCCAUCCAACAUGACUUCCGAACUCUGUGCUUAGGUGUGGAGAUACAGAUAUGAAAAGGACACAGUUCCUGCCAGCUAGGAUCACUGCCUUGAAGGAGACAGACAUUGUCUCCGAGGCCCGGAAGGCGGGGCCUGCUUCACCGGACAGAUCAACUCGAAGCCCCAUUGGUCGAUACGAAAGCAUCUGAUGAGCUCAUUGGAUGAGCCUGGAGGAACGCCACACCCCAUUGGCCUAUCCCAGGCUGUCUUGCUAGUACGCAUGCGCAGGACGCCGAGUGGCUGGCAAGCCGGGGGACCUAGAACGCGCUGGUCUUUGCCGCGCUAGGCCUGCAGGGCGGGGCGGGGCGGGGCGAGCGGUGCCUCCCCAAAUGGCCUUGCUUACACUUUUAUCUCUUUGGGUUAUAGAAUCCCUACUUCUCCAGCCACACUAGGAAGUCAAACCCUUGGCUUUCACCCACUGAACUUUUCUCCCUGUCCAAAUUGCCUCGCAUGUUUCCAGCCUGGCCCCUGCCCCAGCACCCAUCCGGUGGCCAUAGCCACCGGAAGUCAACUUGGCCUCCUCACCCGUCACUUGCAGUGGUUCCUGCUCAGCCCAGGCCUCAUCCUCUGAACACGUCAUGGCACCAGCCUCUUCCGUGACCUUCUGGAAGGCUGAAUAGGGUAAUGCGGGCUUCAGUGUUACUUCCGGCACCCCUGAAUGACCGAUUGCCAUCGUAUCUAACCCACGUGUCAGUGUCAGUACCAUGAACACGUUGUGUCAUUCAGAUUUCUUGUUCAUGGCUGGAAAAUCCUAUUUCAUAUAUAUAUAUAUAUAUAUAUAUAUAUACACACACACACACAUACACACACACACAUAUAUAUAUACACAUAUAUAUGUGUAUCUAUAUGUGUAUAUAUAUAUAAGCUUUCUGAUGUAACAUGAAGUAGAGAUGUCUUUUGUGUUCUUUCAGACUUGGUACUGUUUCUGUGACUUCUAUGGUAUAAAUGAAUAUUUAUUUUUAAUAGAGAAAAGUGCCCCAGUAAGAAUGGUGCUGGUAAAAGUCUAAAUUUUAUGUAAAAAUAUAUUAAGAGUUUUCAGUUGGGGACUGUAAGAGUAUUAUUAUUAAUAUGGUUAUUAACAUAAAUAUUAGGAACAGUUCAUAUAUACAGUAAGAGAGAGUUCUGGUCCCAAAGACCCUGUCUCUCAGGACCCAGGACUCUGAGCCACCCUCCCUUCUUCUUGGGACUCAGGCCUCCAGCACUCACCUCCUCUGAGCUGUAACAGUAUGUGGUUUUCCCGGGUCAUUGUGUACCUAUAGGUGUGGUGCAAGGUCUCAGGUCUUGGCCACAAUUGCCAAUGCAGGACCAAUGGGUUAGGGGAAACUGGAGGGCAGAGAGGGUGGUUGGGAGCUGCACAGACACCUGCUUCAAGCUCCAGAAUGUUGUCUCAGGGCCCUCAUCCCUUCCCAUGCCUCUGACUGGCACUCACCCUUCCUCUUCUGUCCUAGCCCCAAAGCUGGCUUCUAGCACCUGUAGUGAAGGUCAUCUUAAAUAAUCUCUUGGCCUGUUAAUUAGUUUGCUGAGGCUGCCGUAACUAAGUACCACAGAUUGAGAGGCUGAAAGUCCAAAAUAAAGGUAUCAGCAGGGUUGGUUCCUCCUGAGGGCUGUGAGGGAAAGAUCUCUUCCAGACCUUUCUCCUUGGCUUGUAGA
Aethalodelphis obliquidens (Pacific white-sided dolphin) is the source of this 8258-nucleotide long non-coding RNA. RefSeq lists it as uncharacterized. Lineage: Eukaryota; Metazoa; Chordata; Mammalia; Artiodactyla; Delphinidae. The transcript is spliced from 8 exons. The record is from RefSeq and is a predicted model, not a curated record.